GCGGCAAACCGUUCUAUCGCUGUUUCGCAAGAAAGAGAGGAAAGUCCGGGCAAGGCAGAGUACCAUGCUUCUUAACUGGAAGAUAGGCGUAAGCUUAUAGUAGUGGAACAGAAAAUAACCGCCUUAUUUCUUCGGAAUUAGGGUAAGGGUGAAAAGGUGAGGUAAGAGCUCACCAGUACUUAUGGUGACAUAGGUAGCUGUGUGCCUCAUGGCUUGCAAGACCAAGUAUACCGACAGCUGUAGAUUUUACUCGGUCGAUGUCGGGGGGUAGGUUGCUCGAGACAUAUGGUGACAUAUGUCCUAGAUAAAUGAUAGAAGUUCCUUUCGAGGAAAACAGGACCCGGCUUAUAGGUUUGCCACCUUU
This 364-nucleotide RNase P RNA is filed under the name Ancylomarina euxina. RNAcentral describes it as "RNase P RNA component class A". It matches the Rfam family "Bacterial RNase P class A". Rfam says of the family: Ribonuclease P (RNase P) is a ubiquitous endoribonuclease, found in archaea, bacteria and eukarya as well as chloroplasts and mitochondria. Its best characterised activity is the generation of mature 5'-ends of tRNAs by cleaving the 5'-leader elements of precursor-tRNAs. Lineage: Bacteria; Pseudomonadati; Bacteroidota; Bacteroidia; Marinilabiliales; Marinifilaceae. The record is from RNAcentral.